CCAGAUCCAAGCCCCAUCACAACUCGCAAAAGCCUGGAGGGGUUGAGAAUUUAAUGACACUCAAACAGGCA
This 71-nucleotide ribosomal RNA is filed under the name Utraria mammiformis. RNAcentral's name for it is "Lycoperdon mammiforme partial 5.8S ribosomal RNA". The record is from RNAcentral. Lineage: Eukaryota; Fungi; Basidiomycota; Agaricomycetes; Agaricales; Lycoperdaceae.